RNAcentral lists this ribosomal RNA (503 nucleotides) under uncultured bacterium. Its description in RNAcentral is "partial 16S ribosomal RNA". It matches the Rfam family "Bacterial small subunit ribosomal RNA", at positions 30 to 523 of the family's 1533-position model. The record is from RNAcentral.
AUUGAACGCUGGCGGCAGGCUUAACACAUGCAAGUCGAGCGGGGUGAUGGUGCUUGCACUAUCACUUAGCGGCGGACGGGUGAGUAAUGCUUAGGAAUCUGCCUAUUAGUGGGGGACAACAUCUCGAAAGGGAUGCUAAUACCGCAUACGUCCUACGGGAGAAAGCAGGGGAUCACUUGUGACCUUGCGCUAAUAGAUGAGCCUAAGUCGGAUUAGCUAGUUGGUGGGGUAAAGGCCUACCAAGGCGACGAUCUGUAGCGGGUCGGAGAGGAGGAUCCGCCACACUGGGACUGAGACACGGCCCAGACUCCUACGGGAGGUAGCAGUGGGUAAUAUUGGACAAUGGGGGGAACCCUGAUCCAGCCAUGCCGCGUGUGUGAAGAAGGCCUUAUGGUUGUAAAGCACUUUAAGCGAGGAGGAGGCUCUUUUGGUUAAUACCCAAGAUGAGUGGACGUUACUCGCAGAAUAAGCACCGGCUAACUCUGUGCCAGCCGCCGCCGUAA